Molecule: ribosomal RNA, 867 nt
Filed under: uncultured archaeon
Lineage: Archaea
Description: bacterial SSU rRNA
Rfam family: Archaeal small subunit ribosomal RNA
Source: RNAcentral
UUCCGGUUGAUCCUGCCGGAAGCUACUGCUAUUGGGAUUCGAUUAAGCCAUGCAAGUCGAAUGAAUUCAUAUUCAUGGCAUACGGCUCAGUAACACGUGGAUAACUUACCCUUAGGACUGGGAUAACUUUGGGAAACUGAAGAUAAUACCGGAUAUUAAGCUAUGCCUGCAAUGGUUUGCUUAUGAAACGUUUUUCGCCUAAGGAUAGAUCUGCGGCUGAUUAGGUCGUUGGUGGGGUAAAGGCCCACCAAGCCGAUGAUCGGUACGGGUUGUGAGAGCAAGAGCCCGGAGAUGGAACCUGAGACAAGGUUCCAGACCCUACGGGGUGCAGCAGGCGCGAAACCUCCACAAUGUACGAAAGUGCGAUGGGGGGAUCCCAAGUGCUAUUCUUAACAGAAUAGCUCUUCAUUAGUAUAAAAAGCUUUUAGAAUAAGAGCUGGGCAAGACCGGUGCCAGCCGCCGCGGUAAUACCGGCAGCUCAAGUGGUAGCUGUUUUUAUUGGGCCUAAAGCGUUCGUAGCCGGUUUAAUAAGUCUUUGGUGAAAGCUUGUAGCUUAACUAUAAGAAUUGCUGGAGAUACUAUUAGACUUGAAGUCGGGAGAGGUUAGAGGUACUACCGGGGUAGGGGUGAAAUCCUAUAAUCCUGGGAGGACCACCUGUGGCGAAGGCGUCUAACUAGAACGAUCUUGACGGUGGGUAACGAAAGCCAGGGGCGCGAACCGGAUUAGAUACCCGGGUAGUCCUGGCCGUAAACGAUGUGGACUUGGUGUUGGAAUGGCUUCGAGUUGUUCCAGUGCCGAAGGGAAGCUGUUAAGUCCACCGCCUGGGAAGUACGGUCGCAAGACUGAAACUUAAAGGAAUUGGCGGG